This 237-nucleotide ribosomal RNA is filed under the name uncultured bacterium. RNAcentral describes it as "partial 16S ribosomal RNA". It matches the Rfam family "Bacterial small subunit ribosomal RNA", at positions 284 to 525 of the family's 1533-position model. The record is from RNAcentral.
UCGCCCGCCGCGCGCGGCGGGCGGGGCGGGGGCACGGGGGGCCUACGGGAGGCAGCAGUGGGUAAUUUUGCGCAAUGGGCGAAAGCCUGACGCAGCAACGCCGCGUGAGUGAUGAAGGCCUUCGGGUCGUAAAGCUCUGUCAGAGGGGAAGAACCGCCUUAUGGCUAAUAUCCAUGAGGUCUGACGGUACCCUCAAAGGAAGCACCGGCUAACUCCGUGCCAGCAGCCGCGGUAAUA